Long non-coding RNA from Cyprinus carpio (common carp), 509 nucleotides. RefSeq lists it as uncharacterized. The record is from RefSeq and is a predicted model, not a curated record. Lineage: Eukaryota; Metazoa; Chordata; Actinopteri; Cypriniformes; Cyprinidae. The transcript has 3 exons.
CCAAAAAAGGACCUGGCAGCAAGUACAAGAACAUUUUGCAGGCUGGUAAGUGACUUGAUGUGUGAAAAAAAAAAAAAAAAAAUUUGGUGAAUAGUGUCUGCUGCCAUAUUUUAUUGUCUGUGUUGAUUUUACCAUUGAAAAAAAAGGCUCAUAUAUCUGGCACGGGGGUGGCCCUCCAACCCAAGACUUGACCACAGCAGAGGAGCUGGCCCUGGAGUUGAAUAAAGGGAAGCCAGUGAUGGAAGGGACACAGUGAGGGAUAGCCACUGACUCUGGCCCAGCAAGAGAGACUGGCCUCUUCAUACAAGGCUUGGCACGUCCUGUCAAAACUAUCAAGUUCUAUUGAAUAUGGCAGAGGGAAGGCACAUCUGCCGAUGAUGAGAUCGUGUCACUGGACUCCAGAAGGCUUGAGAAAGCAACUCAUACAGGUUUGGAUAGAACUUCAAAAGAAGAAUCAGAUGAUCCAGAACAUAUAAAGGUAUUUUGUUGUUUACUAAAAAUAAUUAUAA